RNAcentral lists this ribosomal RNA (263 nucleotides) under uncultured archaeon. Its description in RNAcentral is "partial 16S ribosomal RNA". It matches the Rfam family "Archaeal small subunit ribosomal RNA", at positions 717 to 982 of the family's 1478-position model. The record is from RNAcentral.
ACACGACUACAUUAGAUACCCGCGUAGUCCUAGCCGUAAACGAUACUCGCUAGGUGUCGGCCACGGUGCGACCGUUGUCGGUGCCGUAGGGAAGCCGUGAAGCGAGCCACCUGGGAAGUACGGCCGCAAGGCUGAAACUUAAAGGAAUUGGCGGGGAGCACAACAACGGGUGGAGCUUGCGGUUUAAUUGGACUCAACGCCGGAAACUCAUCGGGAGCGACAGCAGUAUGAUUGCCAGGUUGAUGACCUUGCUUGACAAGCUG